RNAcentral lists this ribosomal RNA (301 nucleotides) under uncultured bacterium. RNAcentral describes it as "partial 16S ribosomal RNA". It matches the Rfam family "Bacterial small subunit ribosomal RNA", at positions 509 to 807 of the family's 1533-position model. The record is from RNAcentral.
CAGCAGCCACGGUAAUACGAAGGUCCCGAGCGUUGUUCGGAAUCACUGGGCGUAAAGGGAGCGUAGGCGGCGUGGUAAGUCAGAUGUGAAAUCCCGGGGCUCAACCCCGGAACUGCAUCCGAUACUGCCAUGCUAGAGGAUUGGAGAGGUAGCUGGAAUUCUUGGUGUAGCAGUGAAAUGCGUGGAGAUCAGGAGGAACACUCGUGGCGAAAGCGAGCUACUGGACAAUAACUGACGCUGAGGCUCGAAGGCCAGGGUAGCGAAAGGGAUUAGAUACCCCAGUAGUCCCUGUCUCUUAUAC